RNAcentral lists this ribosomal RNA (302 nucleotides) under uncultured bacterium. RNAcentral's name for it is "partial 16S ribosomal RNA". It matches the Rfam family "Bacterial small subunit ribosomal RNA", at positions 508 to 807 of the family's 1533-position model. The record is from RNAcentral.
GCAGUAGCCACGGGAAUACGUAGGUGGCAAGCGUUGUCCGGAAUUAUUGGGCGUAAAGGGCUCGCAGGCGGUUUCUUAAGUCUGAUGUGAAAGCCCCCGGCUCAACCGGGGAGGGUCAUUGGAAACUGGGAAACUUGAGUGCAGAAGAGGAGAGUGGAAUUCCACGUGUAGCGGUGAAAUGCGUAGAGAUGUGGAGGAACACCAGUGGCGAAGGCGACUCUCUGGUCUGUAACUGACGCUGAGGAGCGAAAGCGUGGGGAGCGAACAGGAUUAGAGACCCCCGUAGUCCCUGUCUCUUAUAC